Molecule: long non-coding RNA, 450 nt
Filed under: Helianthus annuus (common sunflower)
Lineage: Eukaryota; Viridiplantae; Streptophyta; Magnoliopsida; Asterales; Asteraceae
Description: sRNA HanXRQr2_Chr03g0127131
Source: RNAcentral
UUGGUGGUCUGGUCGACAGAAGCAGAGAAAAGGGGCGACCCCCAUAUCCAAAACCCUAACAUCACCAAUUCUUGCAAAUUGAAGGCUCAAAUCCUAACCAAAACAAAAUCCGAGCUUAGAAUCGUGUUCCUCAUCGCGAGAGGGUCUAGAGGCAAAGAGUCCGGUUCCUCUAGCGGACAAGCCGAGGGGAAAUCACGAGGAAAAGGCGCGCUCUAAAGUUCUCAGGUACCAAGAAAAAGGAUGAAGAUCAAGCAAAUGAAUCGAACCGAACACACACAUUUCAAGAACGCUUCCGCAUCCAAACUUUGUGUUAGAAACUAUGUAAAUUAAUGGUAGUUACUGUCUUGUAUGUGGUUUGUAACAACAAUACACGAAGGUUGUGUUAAUUUUGGGUUAAACUAUGAAAGUUUUUGUAAAGUCGUCAUUUUGGCGUUAAAUGCAAGAGCUUAA